This 407-nucleotide ribosomal RNA is filed under the name Nipponacmea radula. Its description in RNAcentral is "partial 12S ribosomal RNA". It matches the Rfam family "Bacterial small subunit ribosomal RNA", at positions 779 to 1357 of the family's 1533-position model. The record is from RNAcentral. Lineage: Eukaryota; Metazoa; Mollusca; Gastropoda; Lottiidae.
UAGAUACCCUGUUAUUCCACAGCUUAAAUCCGUCACAAUACUGCCUGGGGACUACGAGGAGACCUUAAAACCCGAGGGGCUUGGCGGUGCACUAUACUUACCAGGGGAACCUGGCCCUUAAUUCGAUAGUCCACGAACAUCUUACCUUUCCUUGUUUAAACAUGCCCCUAGGGGGCAUGUUUCUAUCAGUUUGCAUACCGCCGUUUUCAGCCUGUGUCGUGAGAUAAAAGAAAUAGGCUAUCCAGCAUUGUGAGCGUGGCCACCUUAAGGCGACCUCAUUGCUAAGAAUUCAGGUAAACGUGUAGCCAAUGGAAAGGGGGUGCUGGGUUACAAUUGAAGCUUGAAAUGGAAGGUGGCCUGAAUGGGCCAUCCGAAAGAGUACUUGGAAGUAAUGGCUUUGGGCAAUG